RNAcentral lists this transfer RNA (75 nucleotides) under termite gut metagenome. Its description in RNAcentral is "tRNA-Ile". It matches the Rfam family "tRNA". From Rfam's summary of the family: Transfer RNA (tRNA) molecules are approximately 80 nucleotides in length. The record is from RNAcentral.
GCGCUUGUAACUCAGCUGGUUAGAGUACCACACUGAUAAUGUGGAAGUCGAUGGUCCGAGUCCAUCUAAGCGCAC